AAUAUUUUUAUAGUAGUAUAAACUGAAUACAAUUAAAUAACAGGCAGUUUUCAAGGGGAAGCCCGUUGGAAUCGGGCGCGGCCCCGCCACUGUAUAUCCUGUUUUUCUAGAAAUUAAACGCUGGAAAAACAGGAGAAGUCAGGAUACCUUAGAACUGCUUAAAGAAAUU
Molecule: non-coding RNA, 169 nt
Organism: Candidatus Omnitrophica bacterium CG1_02_43_210
Lineage: Bacteria; Pseudomonadati; Candidatus Omnitrophota
Source: Rfam